AUUGAACGCUGGCGGCAUGCUUUACACAUGCAAGUCGAACGGCAGCACGGACUUCGGUCUGGUGGCGAGUGGCGAACGGGUGAGUAAUACAUCGGAACGUACCCAGUAAUGGGGGAUAACUAGUCGAAAGAUUAGCUAAUACCGCAUACGCCCUACGGGGGAAAGAGGGGGAUCGCAAGACCUCUUGUUAUUGGAGCGGCCGAUGGCUGAUUAGCUAGUUGGUGGGGUAAAGGCCUACCAAGGCGACGAUCAGUAGCGGGUCUUAGAGGACGAUCCGCCACACUGGAACUGAGACACGGUCCAGACUCCUACGGGAGGCAGCAGUGGGGAAUCUUGGACAAUGGGCGAAAGCCUGAUCCAGCAAUGCCGCGUGCGUGAAGAAGGCCUUCGGGUUGUAAAGCGCUUUUGUCUGGGAGCAAAUCCUUGUGGCUAAUACCCACCGGGGAUGAGAGUACCAGAAGAAUAAGGACCGGCUAACUACGUGCCAGCCGCCGCCGUAA
This 500-nucleotide ribosomal RNA is filed under the name uncultured bacterium. RNAcentral's name for it is "partial 16S ribosomal RNA". It matches the Rfam family "Bacterial small subunit ribosomal RNA", at positions 30 to 523 of the family's 1533-position model. The record is from RNAcentral.